RNAcentral lists this ribosomal RNA (478 nucleotides) under uncultured bacterium. RNAcentral describes it as "partial 16S ribosomal RNA". It matches the Rfam family "Bacterial small subunit ribosomal RNA", at positions 28 to 523 of the family's 1533-position model. The record is from RNAcentral.
GACGAACGCUGGCGGCGUGCUUAACACAUGCAAGUCGAACGGUAAGGCCCUUCGGGAUACACGAGUGGCGAACGGGUGAGUAACACGUGGGUGAUCUGCCCUGCACUUCGGGAUAAGCCUGGGAAACUGGGUCUAAUACCGGAUAGGACUCCGGACUGCAUGGUCUGGGGUGGAAAGCUUUUGCGGUGUGGGAUGGGCCCGCGGCCUAUCAGCUUGUUGGUGGGGUGAUGGCCUACCAAGGCGACGACGGGUAGCCGGCCUGAGAGGGUGACCGGCCACACUGGGACUGAGAUACGGCCCAGACUCCUACGGGAGGCAGCAGUGGGGAAUAUUGCACAAUGGGCGCAAGCCUGAUGCAGCGACGCCGCGUGAGGGAUGACGGCCUUCGGGUUGUAAACCUCUUUCAGCAUCGACGAAGCGAAAGUGGCGGUAGGUGCAGAAGAAGGACCGGCCAACUACGUGCCAGCAGCCGCGGUAA